UAGAACUUGUGGCGAUCCUCCUGCCUCAGCCUCUCAAGUGCUCAGAUUACAGGCCUGUGCCACCAAGCCUGGUUCCUUGGUAACUUUAAUCUCAACUCUGAUCCCUCUCUUGUAUGCUCCACUCCUCUCCCUUGGCCAGCCCUCUUCUACAGAGGUUACUAAAGUGGAAAAUCAUGUAUCAUAUUUCAGCAACAGUUUUCUCCCCACCUCCCAAGACAUCAGAGAAAGCAGCAUCAGAACUUGGGUGGAUCCCUCGAAUACACUGUGCCUAAUGUUCACAUCUAUAAAACGAGGACAAGAAUAUUUGCCUUACAGGAUUGUUGGGUGGGUUAAUAAGUUGACAUGCCCUGGCACAUGGAUGUCUGGCCAUGUGAGCUUGUAUCCCCACCCAGCCCUAGACCUCUCCAUGCAUUGGUUGGGCACUGUCUCCUGCACAGAUGCAGGGUGUCAGAGGCACCAAGACAGUAACACAAAGAUGUUCUGGAGAAGUUGUCAUUUCAGGAGCAAAGCCUUGUGCCCCACUGGGGGAAACCUAGUUGAUAAUAACAACCGACACGUCAAGAGCACUCACUGCAUGUCCAUGUCAUCUGAGUGCUUCAUAUCCGGUAAUUUCUUGGACCAUCACCCACUACUCUUAAUUACAUUUUACAGAUGAGGAAACUGAGACACAAAGAGUUUUAGUAACUGUUCCUCAAUCACCCGUAAAUAGGUGGUAAAGUCAGGCUCUGAUUCAGAUAUGAACUCUACGACCUACCAUCGUAAGCAUAUGCUAUGCUAGAAAUUUCCAGUCCCAAAUGUCAGAGAGGGAAAAAUCAUUCUGGUUGUAGCCCAGAGAACUCUCUAAGGGUUUCUGCUUGGUAAAAACCAGUUCUCCUCGCCUCUCCCUUCCAGAUUCUCAUACCAGUACCCUCACCACCUCAUCGCUCUCUUCUCUUCUCUACUCAGGACCCCUAAGUCUGAGCACUCAGAGCUGGCUGCUGUGACCAGGCCAGAAGACUGAGGCUACAGGCUACCCAGCCCUGCCUCACCCACCCCCAGAGCUGUUCUUUGUGUGGAGAGAGUGAUUUUUGCACCAGGCCUGUCCCUCUCUGAGGUGCCCUCAGGCUGUUCGGGAAGACUUCCUGGAAGAGGAGGGGGAAGAGAAUCGAGUACAUGCAGAGGAGAAAGCUCUAAGGACGGGAGAGGCACAGAAGCCCUGGAUGUGACAGCAGACAAGUCAAUAGCCUGGCUGUGCCCACGGGAAGGGUCCAGCUCCCUCCAGGAGAAAGUUCGUUUACCUCUGCUGCUGCCUUCCUUAGUAGAAAUAAACGGCAGAAGAUGUGGUCCUCUGCUCCAUUAAAAAGAGGACUUUAAACACUCAGCCACAAAACGAAGACGUCGUCGUUUCUCACUGCCCUUUGAAUGAGCUGGUCCAGGGUCAGGUUCUCCAACAAAAGAAUCCAGUCCAGCGCCAAGUCUUCGCCCUGGGGGCUAAGCACCGCUGGAUUAUGGAGCAAAAGUGGAAGCUGUUUGUCGGUUUAAACUUUGCCGAACACCUUCUCAGUGCUGGUGGAGCUGAACUCCCCGCGGGCUGUCGGAAGCUAAGGUCUCCCACCCUUGAAGCAGCCGCAGUACGGCCAGCCACACCGGGAGGCGGUACUGGACCGCCUGGGCCUGCAAACACCCGCAGGCUCGAAGGUUCCCACCUGGCAGGACCCUCCAGCGUUCUCCAGUCGGGAGAGGCGCUGGUCUCCUGGGGCGCGUCCAGCACUGGGAUUCCUGGUGGCCACGAGGCCACACCGAGGAUCCGAUCACGAGGCCCACCUAGUCGGCCGGGGCUGGCCAGGGGUCCA
Non-coding RNA from Heterocephalus glaber (naked mole-rat), 1832 nucleotides. NCBI's taxonomy places the organism in Eukaryota, Metazoa, Chordata, Mammalia, Rodentia, Bathyergidae. The record is from RefSeq and is a predicted model, not a curated record.